RNAcentral lists this ribosomal RNA (498 nucleotides) under uncultured bacterium. RNAcentral describes it as "bacterial SSU rRNA". It matches the Rfam family "Bacterial small subunit ribosomal RNA", at positions 16 to 518 of the family's 1533-position model. The record is from RNAcentral.
UUAUGGCGUCAGGAUGAACGCUGGCGGCGUGCCUAACACAUGCAAGUCGAGCGAGAAACUCAUGACCAAUACCUCGGUGCGUGAUGAGCGGAAAGCGGCGGACGGGUGAGUAACGCGUAGGCAACCUGCCCCUUGCAGAGGGAUAGCCUCGGGAAACCGGGAUUAAAACCUCAUAAUGCGUAACGGAGACAUCUCCGAUACGCCAAAGAUUUAUCGGCAAGGGAUGGGCCUGCGUCUGAUUAGUAGUUGGUGGGGUAACGGCCUACCAAGGCAGCGAUCAGUAGCCGACCUGAGAGGGUGAUCGGCCACAUUGGAACUGAGACACGGUCCAAACUCCUACGGGAGGCAGCAGUGGGGAAUAUUGCACAAUGGGCGAAAGCCUGAUGCAGCAACGCCGCGUGAAGGAUGAAGGCCCUUGGGUCGUAAACUUCUGUUCUAAGGGAAGAUAAUGACGGUACCUUAGGAGCAAGUCCCGGCUAACUACGUGCCAGCCGCCGC